Molecule: non-coding RNA, 26 nt
Filed under: Cricetulus griseus (Chinese hamster)
Lineage: Eukaryota; Metazoa; Chordata; Mammalia; Rodentia; Cricetidae
Source: RNAcentral
AAGCUGGCAUUCUAACUGUGAACCAA